Molecule: long non-coding RNA, 1782 nt
Organism: Manis javanica (Malayan pangolin)
Lineage: Eukaryota; Metazoa; Chordata; Mammalia; Pholidota; Manidae
Source: RefSeq, a predicted model, not a curated record
AGUGGGGAUGGCAGCUGCUGUGCAGGCAGCAGAGAACAAAUACACAAACCAGAGCACAGAACUCCAGGGCAGGACACUGAGGUGCAGGCGCGAGGAGGUGACGGAUGAGUCGCCAAGGUGGUGGCCACCCCAACUGGGCUGAACAGGACUGUCUUCACUGUAGUGAGAUGGACAUUUCAGCAGCCCAAAGGCGAAGCUCGGCCGAAAGAGUGAUACUAUCCCUAAAUUCCCGCUAACUGAAGGAAGAUGGAAUGAAAAUAAUGAGCAAAGGGGAUAAAAGAGGAAAGAAGCUCCACUGAUUCUUGGCAGGAGAAAUGGCCUCACAGACCAGCCCCAGCCUGCAGAAAUGUCUGAGUCACUCUCCUUGGAAGUUCUCCGCCUAACCAACUCAGGGCCAUGACUUAAACUACAAUGAGCAUGACCUCCGGACAUUAACAAGAGAAGCUUGCCUUGGGAGAUGCCUCCGAACCUUCAUAAAGAAUUGUUCUCUGCAGCAAUGCUGUUUCCAUGCACACCAGCCAAAGGCCCUGGGACACACUCUGCCAUUGACUGGGUGAUAACGAAGUCUGUUCAACACCUCUUCCAUGAAGUGCCACCCCCACCACGGCGAGGACCUCCUCUGGAAGCUAAAGAUGGCAUUGCCAUCCUUCCCCUACGCAGUUUAAAGGACUGAGUAUCUCCAGCUAUUUGACUGGAGAGGCUGGACAUCAGCCUCCAUCUCUGAAGCUCCUGAAGAUGAGUGGAGUGUUUCCUGGCAAACUGUUCAACAUUCUGCUACAACAGAGUGAUCUGGAUGCCCAUUGCUCAUAUUGGUAAAAAUCUCAGCCGUAAGUGUCUGUACUUAUUCAGAUACUGCUUUGAGUUUGUCUUCUCUUAAGUGCGGCAUGCUACUUGGACAGGGACCUCUGGGCACCCUUCUUGGUUCCCGGGACAGCCCUGGGCACAGGACUUAGAAGUUGGAGCAAAUGCGGAAUGAAAACAAUGCACACUUUCUGUCCCAUGGCACUUAACGGUCAAUUUGCUGAAAUAGUAUCUGUUUAGAUGGCUAAUAACCACUGCUCUGUUAUUUGUAGAAAGCUGUAUUUUGUUUUCUAAUUAUGUCUUAAGUCAGUCUCUUAUCUGUGCCUUAAUAUCUCUAUAAAAAUGUGUCAAUUUCUCCAUCAUUUAUUAUACCCCAGGGACCCUGAAGGUUUGAAAAGGUGAUUACUAUAGUGUAUUUUUUUAAAAUACAAGUUGCUGUUACCAUGCCUGCAAAUCAUAUCCCAGAAAGGGAAAUACAUGUGCUGCUCAGGGUAAGACAGUAAGGGGAGUCCACCAGUGAUGGGGGAAAGGGAGCUCUCAGAAUCCUGAUUUUUUUGGCAGAAAAGAGGUUGUACCUAGCAACGUAAUUCCAACACAGGGUGCCCUUGGGAAGUCAGGUAGAAUAACCUAAAAUUAGGUUUCAAAAUGAGAAUUGCAUUUUUUCCAGCGAGACAGCAUAGUUGAUACUGAAUGUUAUUUACAGAUUUGACUUUAGUAGUUUUAAACCAUUUUUCUUGUUUCCGAUAAAUCAUGUCAUAGAUAUAGGUACAUAUUAUUCCUUCUUUGUUUUAGAACUAAAUUACCUUUUAAAUAAGGGGGGGAAUGAAUUAUGUUAGUAAAAUCCUCAAAUUGCUUUGCACAACAUCAAUUCAGAGAAACGCUUUCCUCCUUCAUAGGAUAAUGGCCCAAGUCGAAAGUAAUAAAAUCAACAACCAGAUUUGUUGAACAUGUACUAUGUGGGAAUGUAUGCUAAUCACUGCA